CCUUGUACACACCGCCCGUCAAGCCACGAAAGUGGGGGGCAUCCGAAGUCGCCGAGGCAACCCGCAAGGGAGCCAAGCGCCGAAGGUGAACUCCGCGAUUGGGACU
This 106-nucleotide ribosomal RNA is filed under the name uncultured bacterium. RNAcentral describes it as "partial 16S ribosomal RNA". It matches the Rfam family "Bacterial small subunit ribosomal RNA", at positions 1379 to 1482 of the family's 1533-position model. The record is from RNAcentral.